Molecule: long non-coding RNA, 489 nt
Filed under: Homo sapiens (human)
Lineage: Eukaryota; Metazoa; Chordata; Mammalia; Primates; Hominidae
Description: HSALNT0340636
Source: RNAcentral
UGGCGAAGGAGGGGCGCGAGGAGGCGGCCACUGUUGAGGGGCGGGGCGUCCCGCCGAGAGUCUGGAUGAGGUCCGGGGAAUGAGGUGAUUCGCCCAAAAGCACACUACAAAUUGGAGUCACCAGCAGGUCUGCUAUUUUGCCACUAAACCAAUCUGCCGGUCACACCUUGGCUGUAAAGUGUCCUAACAGCCACCUACUUAUGAUUACUGCUUUCUUACCAAUAACCUCCCCAGCCUGUUGUGUGGCUCCUACAUCUUGAACAAAAGCGACCAAGGCAUACAUCUGUAGGAGACCAGAAUAUGCCACCCCAAAAUAUGCCUCCUUGGCCUAAGGAUUAUUCUGAGCUAGUAAUUUUGAGAAACAGAAGCUAUGAAAACAGCAUAAGCUACCCCUUUGAAAGAGAAAUUCACCCCGGCCACCACCCCGUCUGGGAAGUGAGGAGCGUCUCUGCCCAGCCGCCCCGUCUGAGAAGUGAGGAGCCCCUCCGC